Molecule: ribosomal RNA, 535 nt
Filed under: Colletotrichum gloeosporioides
Lineage: Eukaryota; Fungi; Ascomycota; Sordariomycetes; Glomerellales; Glomerellaceae
Description: eukaryotic LSU rRNA
Rfam family: 5.8S ribosomal RNA (bases 162-315)
Source: RNAcentral
GGUAGACUCACCCUUUGUGACGUACCUACACUGUUGCUUCGGCGGGUAGGGUCUCCGCGACCCUCCCGGCCUCCCGCCUCCGGGCGGGUCGGCGCCCGCCGGAGGAUAACCAAACUCUGAUUUAACGACGUUUCUUCUGAGUGGUACAAGCAAAUAAUCAAAACUUUUAACAACGGAUCUCUUGGUUCUGGCAUCGAUGAAGAACGCAGCGAAAUGCGAUAAGUAAUGUGAAUUGCAGAAUUCAGUGAAUCAUCGAAUCUUUGAACGCACAUUGCGCCCGCCAGCAUUCUGGCGGGCAUGCCUGUUCGAGCGUCAUUUCAACCCUCAAGCUCUGCUUGGUGUUGGGGCCCUACAGCCGAUGUAGGCCCUCAAAGGUAGUGGCGGACCCUCCCGGAGCCUCCUUUGCGUAGUAACUUUACGUCUCGCACUGGGAUCCGGAGGGACUCUUGCCGUAAAACCCCCCAAUUUUCCAAAGGUUGACCUCGGAUCAGGUAGGAAUACCCGCUGAACUUAAGCAUAUCAAUAAGCGGAGGAA